This 1125-nucleotide ribosomal RNA is filed under the name Triticum aestivum (bread wheat). Its description in RNAcentral is "partial small subunit ribosomal RNA". Lineage: Eukaryota; Viridiplantae; Streptophyta; Magnoliopsida; Poales; Poaceae. The record is from RNAcentral.
AUGAGCCACGGCGUCGCGGCGAGGAAGCGGUUCGGCGGCGUCAGCUUCGCGCUCGGCUGCGGCUGCAAGGACCCCAAGGCCGUGGCCGUCGCGGCGGCGGCGGUGGCCGCCUCGUCGCCGCGCUCCGGCACGGAGGCGUCCACGGCGACCACCGCCACGUCGCGGAGGGCCAGCAGGACGCACCCGUCGGCGUCCACGUCCACGGGCACGCUCACCGUGCCCUCCGCCUCCUCCUCCUUCCUGUGGGAGGAUGCCGACGCCGACGCCGACGAGGUCGAGUGCAAGCGGGCGAGCUCCGCGACCACGCCCAGCUUCUCCGGCCUGCUGCGCGAGCUCAGCGAGCUCGAGCGGAGCAUCAAGUCGUGCGCGCGGACCAAGAGCCCCCCAAGAAAUCACUUCUCGCCACCGCCGCCGCCUCCUCCUCCUCCACCGCCGCCCCCGCCGUUGCCGUCGCGGCCCGUGCAGCGUCGAGCUGUGCGCGGCGACGACAAGCCCAGCGUCCAAGAAGGCCACGGAGACUUCUCGCCGCCGCGGCCGCGCCCGCUCCCGCCGCCAUCCUUGCAGGUCCCAACGCAGCAGCAUCGGAGGGUGAAGAGCGUUGACAAAGCCAGCAAGCCAGAAGGAGACGCGCACUUCACGCCACAGCCACCUCGGCCGCUGCCCCCGCCGCCGCCGCUGGAGCCGCUCCGGAGCGCGAAGACCGAGGAGGAUAAUAAGUCCAAGAGCAAAGAAGACGAGAAGCGCUCGCCGACACCGCAGCCGGCGCCGAAGCACCGGAAAGCGAUGAGCUGCGACAACAGCAACGGCUUCGGCGGCGGCAGCGGAAGGCUGGACGGGAGCGUGGCGGUGGUGAAGCAGUCGGAGGACCCGCUGGGCGACUUCCGGCGGUCGAUGCUGAACAUGAUCGUGGAGAACGGGAUCGUGACGGGGGACGAGCUCCGCGAGCUCCUCCGGCGCUUCCUGGCGCUGAACGCGCCCCGCCACCACGACGCCAUCCUCCGGGCCUUCGCGGAGAUCUGGGACGAGGUGUUCGCCCCCGCCGCCGCCGCCACGGCCGAGCGCGAGCCGAGGCCGACGGCGCCCCGCCGCCGGCAACCUCUGCCCCUGCCGGCGUGGCGCGUGUAG